UGAGGAAUAUUGGUCAAUGGCCGGGAGGCUGAACCAGCCAAGUCGCGUGAGGGAUGACGGUCCUAUGGAUUGUAAACCUCUUUGUCGGGAGCAAAAGGCAUCACGUGUGAUGCUCCGAGAGUACCCGAAGAAAAAGCAUCGGCUAACUCCGUGCC
Molecule: ribosomal RNA, 155 nt
Filed under: uncultured bacterium
Lineage: Bacteria
Description: partial 16S ribosomal RNA
Rfam family: Bacterial small subunit ribosomal RNA
Source: RNAcentral